Molecule: ribosomal RNA, 535 nt
Filed under: uncultured Mycobacterium sp.
Lineage: Bacteria; Bacillati; Actinomycetota; Actinomycetes; Mycobacteriales; Mycobacteriaceae
Description: bacterial SSU rRNA
Rfam family: Bacterial small subunit ribosomal RNA
Source: RNAcentral
CAUGCAAGUCGAACGGAAAGGCCCUUCGGGGUACUCGAGUGGCGAACGGGUGAGUAACACGUGGGUGAUCUGCCCUGCACUUUGGGAUAAGCCUGGGAAACUGGGUCUAAUACCGAAUAUGACCACGCUCUUCAUGGGGUGUGGUGGAAAGCUUUUGCGGUGUGGGAUGGGCCCGCGGCCUAUCAGCUUGUUGGUGGGGUAAUGGCCUACCAAGGCGACGACGGGUAGCCGGCCUGAGAGGGUGACCGGCCACACUGGGACUGAGAUACGGCCCAGACUCCUACGGGAGGCAGCAGUGGGGAAUAUUGCACAAUGGGCGCAAGCCUGAUGCAGCGACGCCGCGUGAGGGAUGACGGCCUUCGGGUUGUAAACCUCUUUCACCAGGGACGAAGCGCAAGUGACGGUACCUGGAGAAGAAGCACCGGCCAACUACGUGCCAGCAGCCGCGGUAAUACGUAGGGUCCGAGCGUUGUCCGGAAUUACUGGGCGUAAAGAGCUCGUAGGUGGUUUGUCGCGUCGUUCGUGAAAACUCACA